This is a long non-coding RNA of Oncorhynchus masou masou (cherry salmon), 3932 nucleotides long. RefSeq lists it as uncharacterized. The transcript is spliced from 3 exons. NCBI's taxonomy places the organism in Eukaryota, Metazoa, Chordata, Actinopteri, Salmoniformes, Salmonidae. The record is from RefSeq and is a predicted model, not a curated record.
CCUAACUUGUAACACGGCAAAAUGUGAAACAAGUCAAGGGUGUGAAUAUUUUCUGAAGGCACGUUCUAGUAAAUGAACAAUCAGGUUCGUGGGAGUGUUAUGUUUCCCUUUCCUUCCCCUUUUCAAAAUUUCUCUGACUUCUCCAUUUAGUCCAGGGACCAGAAAAAUGCCCAUAAAAAGGGAGAAAUUACUGUUUUUGGGCAAUAGAACUAGAAUACACUUCUACGCAUUGGUAUAACCAGUGUGUAUGGGUCCAUAUAAUCAAUGGAUGGUAAAUCAGGUUGCAGUUUCACAAACUUCUUAACUGAAUGAUUCUGAAUGAAUCCAUAUCAAACUACUGUUGGGAGCCUGCAGAGAAUUACACGUUUUGUGUUUUGUUCCUCUGAAUGGCAGUACUUGUCUAGUCCAGGGCUCUCCAACCCUGUUCCUGGAGAGCUACCCUCCUGUAGGUUUUCACUCCAACCCAAGUUGGAACUAAUAGCAUUCAGUUUAUCAACCACUAAUUAUUAGAAUAAUGUGUGAUGAUAAGGGUUGGAGUGAACCUAUAGGAUGGUAGCUCUCGAGGAACAGGGUUGGAGAGCCCUAGUGUAGUCUCUCUUCCCACAGUCACUAUCUGGCAAGAAAGACCAUUUAUCCAAUUUUAAAAAGCUCAAUUUGAUAUACUGUAGAUAGCAAUGUUUGUAUAUAUUUGUCUCAUUUCUAGAACUACAAUUUAACAUUCACUUGCUACAAUCUUUUAAUUGGAGUUCUUCAUUGUCAGAGCAGAAAACAUGAAUUAUUCUGUGUAAGGAAAAGCCUCGGGAGAAGUUGAGAAUUGUUGGGGAAAUCAGGAGAAAACACCUGCCUAUCUGGCCUAAGAAUGGCUACUUGUGUUUGUUUUCUACCACAAGUAAAAUAACCAGAUGUGUAUUGUGUAUCUUAGGCAAAGGCUGAACCAAGGCACUCUAACCAACGAGCAAACACAAGUCAGUGAGUCUCCUCAGAUAUAGGGUGGAGUGUUUCAUUGUGCCAUACCAUUAUGGACAAAAUGGAAAGGGUGGCAUCCUAAAUGAGUUGCCUGUCAAACUGACUUCCUUCAGCACAUCAUUGAAUACUAAUGAAAUCCCAAUAGUAUUUUUUCCAUCUGCGCCUGUCACACUUUUGGAUUCAUCUCACGUGGCCUAUUUCAAUUUGUGGCUACUCUAGCUGUAAGCAGUGUGAGUUCAUUCUCAUCUGAACCAAGUGAGUACUACCCUUUUGUCAAAUCUGCUAAGAGACUCAAGUCAAAGGCCAUUGGCAGCAGUGUUGCUAUAGUAACUGUCCUUGGUUCAAUUUACAAAAACUUUAAAUUCUGAAGUCAGUCCUAAGCCUUUUUAGUCUCUUGGAGAGAUAGGGGUGUUGAAUUUUAACAGGUUGCUAAAUCUACUUUUGCUUCACUGUUCAUCUUCCUAGCAUGGAGGAAGACAAGGUGUGUGUGGUUGGGCUGGAUUUAAUUGGAUUAGACUAACAUUCUUGUUCUUGAACCUAUAUAUAUUUUAUUGCAUCGGGCAAAUGGCAAGAUUUGUAGAGUAUAUUAUUCAGUCAGGUGGAAGGUUGCUCUGAAUGGUUGAAUCUAAAGAAUGUGACCUGUAGAAUUUGUUUUGGUCUUAACUUUAUGAAAGUAAAUAUGAUUAUUCAGUGUUGUCAUAAAACAGUGUCCAACAUCAGAGAUAAGAGUGCCAUUACAGUCUAAACUGAUUUCACUUAAGUAAGCUAAAGCAGGGGUGCCAAACUCAUUUUGCCCGGGGGCAGCAUUCGGUCUUCUACAAGGUCCGGAGGGCCGCACUGAUUUAUCCUCACAGCCAAAAUUUGCAAAAGAUUGUCCUUAAUCCAUAAUUUGUGGAAUUUUCAAUAAUCCCUGACUGUCUAAUUUUGGUGAUUAUAAGCGAGCUGCAAAGGUCCAUUAUAAUUUCUACACAGCUUUGACUGUUCAGAGGAGACUGUGUGAUCAGGCCUUCAUGGUUGAAUUGUUGCAAAGAAACCACUACUAAAGGACACUAAGAAGAAGAAGAGACUUGCUUGGGCCAAGAAACAACGAGCAAUGGACAUUAGACCGGUGGAAAUCUGUCCUUUGGUAUGAUGAGUCAAAAUGUGCGAUUUUUGUUUCCAACCACAGUGUCUUUGUGAGACGCAGAGUAGGUGAACGGAUGAUCUCUGCAUGUGUGGUUCCCACCAUGAAGCAUGGAGGAGGAGGCUCUAACUGUAACGGUUUUCUUCUGGUGAAAGAGAGGCGGACCAAAAGCAGCGUGAUGGGAUAGAAGAUCUGAAGUCCUGACACAACUCUCCUGCCCCAAGUUAUAGCGGCAGAGAUGAGAAUCUCCUAAAAGUGUCAGAAGAAGCUGUUUUUCCCUCAGCUGGGGAGAGAUAACGAUCACAGCACCAUCCACCUCCUCGGGUAGACCACAGGCCUUCUACCAAACCAAUCUCCAACGGAGCCUCAGGCACCAUACUGGGACCCAUUUUCAAAACUUCCUAAAGUGUUACCACAGCACACGAUUUAGAGUUCACAUAUUUGUAAGGCUCCUGCUAUAUGUUGCAUAUUUUAGUCUGUUAUCUAGUUCUCUAAAGUUCCCACUAAGAUGCUAGACUUGAAUGCAUCCUAGAGCUGAGAAGGUCCUCCAGCUUAGUCUAACAGCUUUCCACUCCAUAGGCUUAUAGACAGUGGUAUAUUAUUGACUGAGAAUCAUAACUACAGUCAGGAGGAAGCCUUCCCUCCACAGGAGGCUGGUGAGGGGAAGACAGCUCUAAAUAAUAGCUGGAAUGAAGUGAAGAGUAACCAUGUGUUUGAGACCAUUCCAAUAAUUUCGUUCCAGCCAUUACUAUGAUCCCUUCCUCCCUAAUUAAGUUCCCAACAGGCACCUGUGCUUCCCUCAGUACUAAACUAGUAAAUGUGGCAGGUCUCUGUUUGUCUAUCUAACCAAUGUUUUAAAUUGUGCAUUGGGCCUCCUGAUUCUAAACAUGUCCAAGGUGUUUUGCUCUGCUGAAACACACAUUACCAAUGUCCUCCUCUGCUAAAUCAGUAGCUCUAAACAGAAAGAUUCAGACUCUCUAUGCUUCAAGCUUGGGUGUGUCCAGUUCACAUGUACAGUAACAUUAUGAAACCUAAUAUUUCCUCACCUUUUCAUUUGUAUUAACCUUGCUGUCUGUCUCUCCGACAUUUGCAGCAUUGUUUCAAUAUUCCAAUUCAUUCUAUGACUGUCCCAUAGUAAUGAACGUGUAGGGUUCGGGAGUCGGGAUGAGAGAGUGAGGCAGGCAGCGUUUCUCAGCCAGUCAACAUCAUGAAUGAGCUGGCAUCAUUUAUAUGGAUAUAUAGAAAUAAAUGUAAAUUGAAAAAAGGUGAAAUAAAACGAAGUGCAGCUAGUUUACAGUCUUCCCAGCUUCAGUUUGAAGUUGUUUUGUUAGCUGUGUUGUUGGCUAGCUCUUCUGAACAACAGUGUCCUAACAAGAGAGCACUUUUUAUGCAAGGCGAAAUCGUGCCUCAUUAGCUCAUUGUUAUGGAUGUAUCCAAAUAAAUGUCACUAGAAAACAGCUUAAACAAAUGCAGCCACUGUUGUUAUCAUUUCUGCACUGUUUGGCGUGACUGUAAGUUAGCCAUAGUUGGCUAGCUAGCAAGCAAUAAUAAGAACGUUGCCAGCCAGGGUGGCAAUGCAACAUUUAGAACGAAUGACUGGGUCGCGUCCAUAGAUACAGAACAAAAAGACUGAACGACUGGGUCGCGCCUCUGGCAACCGAACCAAUAGAACGAACGACCAGCCGGCUUGGGUAGCAACCCUAGAUUUGUUUCGGGACUAUAUCUUGUGAAAGGAUGAAAUAGUAUGAAUAAAUUCAUUUUAAAAUUUAAAUUUAAGGCAAAUAUGUCAAUCAUUAUUUGAAUAUGUUGGUAACCCGUUGUAUCCAAGUGAUAAUGCCCUCGA